This 476-nucleotide ribosomal RNA is filed under the name uncultured bacterium. Its description in RNAcentral is "bacterial SSU rRNA". It matches the Rfam family "Bacterial small subunit ribosomal RNA", at positions 8 to 526 of the family's 1533-position model. The record is from RNAcentral.
AGAGUUUGAUCAUGGCUCAGAACGAACGCUGGCGGCAGGCUUAACACAUGCAAGUCGAGCGCGCGCCUUCGGGUGCGAGCGGCGGACGGGUGAGUAACGCGUGGGAACGUGCCCUCUUCUACGGAAUAGCCCAGGGAAACUUGGAUUAAUGCCGUAUGCGCCCCGUGAGGGGGAAAGAUUUAUCGGAGGAGGAUCGGCCCGCGUCGGAUUAGGUAGUUGGUGGGGUAAUGGCCUACCAAGCCGACGAUCCGUAGCUGGUUUGAGAGGAUGAUCAGCCACACUGGGACUGAGACACGGCCCAGACUCCUACGGGAGGCAGCAGUGGGGAAUCUUGGACAAUGGGGGCAACCCUGAUCCAGCCAUGCCGCGUGGACGAUGAAGGCCUUAGGGUUGUAAAGUCCUUUCAGCGGGGAAGAUAAUGACGGUACCCGCAGAAGAAGCCCCGGCUAACUCCGUGCCAGCCGCCGCGGUAAUUC